This is a long non-coding RNA of Homo sapiens (human), 772 nucleotides long. RefSeq annotates it as AADACL2 antisense RNA 1. The record is from RefSeq and is marked validated. The transcript has 4 exons. Lineage: Eukaryota; Metazoa; Chordata; Mammalia; Primates; Hominidae.
GGUUCCCGCUCGCGCCUCUCCCUCCACACCUCCCUGCAAGCUGAGGGAGUGGACUCUGGCCUUGGCCAGCCCAGAAAGGGGCUCCCACAGUGCAGCCGUGGGCUGAAGGGCUCCUCAAGUGCCGCCAAAGUGGGAGCCCAGGCAGAGGAGUCGCCGAGAGCGAGCGCGGGCUGUGAGGACUGCCAGCACGCUGUCACCUCUCAAUAACGCCCAUCCCAACGUUUCCUGAGGAAUAAUUUUGGUCGUGUUCCUGCUACUCAGCUUUUCGUGGUUCCUGCUCAUUUUCAGAGUCUAACAUUCCAGCUUUUCCGGAAAUUCUAUACUUUGAUGUAAAAGUUUUCAAAGAAAUGCUUUGGGCAGAAGAGACUCAUGGAAACUGGACACUAUAUCUGGAGCCAGGAAUAAUAGGAUCCGAGAAACAGUAACAAGUAUAAAACAAAGUGGUCUUGAACUCCUGGCCUCAAGUAAUCCUCCCCACUGGGCUUCCCAAAGUGCUGGGACUACAGAGGUGAGCCAAUACAUCAAGCCCAAUUGUUGUUUCAGUUAUGCUUGCUACACUUGCAAAGCCAAGCAAAUGUUACAAAUGUGCAAGAAAUUAGAGGUAUGGUAAGAUGUUGCUUAAUCACUAUUGGGUAAUUGUUGGACAGCUUUCAGAAUCUCUACAUUCCCCAAACCGGUUUCAGAUGAAAUUUUAGACCAGACUGCUAUGCAAUUUUACAUAGUAAUUAGUAUAAUAAUCUCUAAGCAGGGCAUUCUCCAAUUUUUACCCUCC